RNAcentral lists this long non-coding RNA (235 nucleotides) under Homo sapiens (human). Its description in RNAcentral is "HSALNT0116029". The record is from RNAcentral. Lineage: Eukaryota; Metazoa; Chordata; Mammalia; Primates; Hominidae.
UUCCUUCCUUCCUUUAAUCAAGAUUUACCGAGCACUGGGAAAGAGGACAGCAAGAGAAGGCACAACCUGUGACAUGCAACAUCUGAUUCUGAAUGACUGAAGGAUUCACCGAAGUGUGAGGAAGGCAGAGAACAGAGAAACACAGAGUGCUAGCUCCGUGCUGUGGAGUUAUGCAAGUGAAUGAGGCUGAUCAACUUUCCCAUCAUCAACUCACCCAGAAAGCAGAACAUUCACU